UAGUCCACGCCGUAAACGAUGAAUACUAGGUGUCGGGGGUCGAACCUCGGUGCCGCAGCUAACGCAUUAAGUAUUCCACCUGGGGAGUACGAUCGCAAGAUUGAAACUCAAAGGAAUUGACGGGGGCCCGCACAAGCGGUGGAGCAUGUGGUUUAAUUCGAUGCAACGCGAAGAACCUUACCUGGGCUUGAACUGGUACUGCAAUACUGUGAAAGCAGUUAUUCCUUCGGGACGGUACUAGAGGUGCUGCAUGGCUGUCGUCAGCUCGUGUCGUGAGAUGUUGGGUUAAGUCCCGGCAACGAGCGCAACCCUUACUCUUAGUUGCCAGCAUGUAAUGAUGGGAACUCUAAGGGGACUGCCCCGGCUAACGGGGGAGGAAGGUGGGGAUGACGUCAAGUCCUCAUGGCCCUUAUGUCCAGGGCUACACACGUGCUACAAUGGAUACUACAAAGGGAAGCUAAGCCGCGAGGUGGAGCAGAUCCCAUAAAGGUAUUCUAAGUUCGGAUCGGAGU
Molecule: ribosomal RNA, 512 nt
Filed under: uncultured bacterium
Lineage: Bacteria
Description: bacterial SSU rRNA
Rfam family: Bacterial small subunit ribosomal RNA
Source: RNAcentral